Molecule: transfer RNA, 90 nt
Filed under: bacterium
Lineage: Bacteria
Description: tRNA-Ser
Rfam family: tRNA
About the family: Transfer RNA (tRNA) molecules are approximately 80 nucleotides in length. Their secondary structure includes four short double-helical elements and three loops (D, anti-codon, and T loops).
Source: RNAcentral
GGAGAGGUGCCCGAGCGGUUUAAGGGAACGGUUUGCUAAACCGUGGCGCCGAAAGGUGCCUCAUGGGUUCGAAUCCCAUCCUCUCCGCCA